UAAGGAAUAUUGCUCAAUGGGAGAAAUCCUGAAGCAGCAACGCCGCGUGGAGGAUGAAGGGUCUAUGACUUGUAAACUCCUGUAAAGAAGGAAAAAAUUCCCAUUAGAUGGGAGAUGAUGGUACUUCUGGAGUAAGCCCCGGCUAACUACGUGCCAGCAGCCGCGGUAAUACGUAGGGGGCAAGCGUUGUCCGGAUUUACUGGGUGUAAAGGGUGCUCAAGCGGAUUUGUAAGUCAGAGGUGAAAUCUUACAGCUUAACUGUGAAACUGCCUUUGAUACUGCAAGCCUAGAGUAUGGAAGAGAGUGAUGGAAUAUCUGGUGUAGCAGUGAAAUGCGUAGAUAUCAGAUAGAACACCAAUGGCGAAGGCAGUCACUUGGUCCAUUACUGACGCUAAAGCACGAAAGCGUGGGUAGCAAACA
RNAcentral lists this ribosomal RNA (420 nucleotides) under uncultured bacterium. Its description in RNAcentral is "bacterial SSU rRNA". It matches the Rfam family "Bacterial small subunit ribosomal RNA", at positions 355 to 774 of the family's 1533-position model. The record is from RNAcentral.